This is a long non-coding RNA of Gavialis gangeticus (Gharial), 93 nucleotides long. RefSeq lists it as uncharacterized. Lineage: Eukaryota; Metazoa; Chordata; Crocodylia; Gavialidae. The record is from RefSeq and is a predicted model, not a curated record. The transcript has 3 exons.
AAUAUACCUUUCUUUGACUUUGCUCCAAUCUUCAGCUUCGAUGGCCAAGCAAUCUGUGUAUUUGUUUCUUCCAUAAUCUUCUGAAAAAAUUCU